This 254-nucleotide ribosomal RNA is filed under the name uncultured bacterium. Its description in RNAcentral is "partial 16S ribosomal RNA". It matches the Rfam family "Bacterial small subunit ribosomal RNA", at positions 524 to 776 of the family's 1533-position model. The record is from RNAcentral.
UACAGAGGUCCCAAGCGUUGUUCGGAUUCACUGGGCGUAAAGGGUGCGUAGGUGGCUUGGUAAGUUUGACGUGAAAUCUCCGGGCUUAACCCGGAAAAUGCGUUGAAUACUAUUUGAGCUUGAGGUUUGGAGGGGGGACUGGAAUUCUUGGUGUAGCAGUGAAAUGCGUAGAUAUCAAGAGGAACACCAGUGGCGAAGGCGAGUCCCUGGACAACACCUGACACUGAGGCACGAAAGCUAGGGGAGCAAACAGG